UGACCUGGCAAGAUAUAAAUUCAUUCUGGGCCACUGGCAAGAUUUUGACCAACAUCAAUCACUAAACUGUUCUCUACUCUUCAGUCCCUUGACUCUUUCAAUAUCCUCUCUUAUCAGUGAGCCAAGGUGGUAGAGUUGCAGCAAACAAUACAGUGAAGAGCUCCCUGCCAAAUUUCUCCAAACACAUGCAAAAAAUGCACCAGCCCAAAGCUUGUUGGGACAAUCCAGAAAAAGAUACAGUAAUAUUUGCAUAAGGAUAUGGACUGGACAUGAGAUUUCUCCCAGAUGAAGAAAUCCCUCCAGCAAUGCAGGAUGUGGCGUCUCUGCUAAUGGACUGAUUCAUUGCUGGCUGAGUCAACCAAAUCACUCAUCACCUAACUUGGUACUGCUGUUACCAGCUUUCAGUGCUGAAGAGAGAGAGCUUCCAUGGCUCUUCCAAGCCUCUUUUGAGAGCUCACAAGAUUGUCAUCUAGUCUGUUCCAUCUCAGGGAUUUAAGCAUGUUCAUGCUUAAAGCCUUAAACCAAAGGUUAAAGGUGGAAAGGAAGAACAAGAUAGAAAAACUGUCGUGCCAAAGGGAUCAACAAUUAGUGGACUAGGUUGCUCAUAUUGGUGAUCAAUUAAGAUGUGGGGUAGGCCAAGAAUACAAGGAAAUCAGGAAAUCAGAAACUCAUUAGAAGCAGAAAACUGGAACAAAGUGUCUGACUGAUUGUGUGUAUUUGUGUGUAUUUAUGGAAGACCUCAGAAUAUUAGACCAAAUGUUAUAAAAUUAAGGGAAUUAAAUAUCACUCUUCCUCACAGGAAGCCUCCCUAGUCUUAGAGCUGCAG
RNAcentral lists this long non-coding RNA (826 nucleotides) under Monodelphis domestica (gray short-tailed opossum). Its description in RNAcentral is "lncRNA (ENSMODG00000043936.1)". Lineage: Eukaryota; Metazoa; Chordata; Mammalia; Didelphimorphia; Didelphidae. The record is from RNAcentral.